AUGUCGACGGUCAUCUCUUGCUCCCUCCUGAGCGGCCGGCCGGCGGACGCACCAUCGCGCUCCUCCGGCAAUCGGGCUCCUCCGACGACGGGGAAGGCUGCCGCGGUUUCUCUCUCUAGUUUCCAGCGGCAGUCCAGGCCCUCCUCCGUGUGCUGUGCAAGCAACCCAAAAGGGGAUCAGCACGUACCAAAGACGGAUUUGCCGCCGUUCGGCAUCUCCCCCGUCGCUCUGCUGCACCCCGGGUCGCCGCAGGGGGAGCGGUGGGGGAUACAUGAGAGGGCCGACAACGUGAGCAUGUGGUUCGAGGUGCCGGGCCUGUCCAAGGAGGACCUCCUCGUGGAGCUGGACGAGGACGUCCUCGUCAUACGGAAGAUGAAGACCAAGGCGGAGAUAGAGGCUGCGACGGCAGACGCUGUCGCCAGCGGUAGCUCCAAGGACGCGGCCGGAGCGGCAGCGCACGACGGUGACAUGUACGCGCGGCUACUCGUCCCGGCGGGCUACAACAAGGAGACCAUCAAGGCGGAGCUCGCCUCCGGCGUUCUGAAGGUUCACAUUCGUAAAGUCAUGGAGUGCGCACGCAGGAGGAUCAAUGUCAACAUCGACGUCAAGUAG
RNAcentral lists this ribosomal RNA (612 nucleotides) under Triticum aestivum (bread wheat). RNAcentral's name for it is "partial small subunit ribosomal RNA". The record is from RNAcentral. Lineage: Eukaryota; Viridiplantae; Streptophyta; Magnoliopsida; Poales; Poaceae.